Camelus ferus (Wild Bactrian camel) is the source of this 72-nucleotide transfer RNA. It matches the Rfam family "tRNA". Rfam says of the family: Transfer RNA (tRNA) molecules are approximately 80 nucleotides in length. Their secondary structure includes four short double-helical elements and three loops (D, anti-codon, and T loops). Lineage: Eukaryota; Metazoa; Chordata; Mammalia; Artiodactyla; Camelidae. The record is from Rfam.
GAGGGUAUAGCUCAGUGGUAGAGCACAUGCUUAGCAUGCACGAGGUCCUGGGUUCAAUCCCCAGUGCCUCCA